Capsicum annuum is the source of this 103-nucleotide non-coding RNA. Lineage: Eukaryota; Viridiplantae; Streptophyta; Magnoliopsida; Solanales; Solanaceae. The record is from Rfam.
ACUUCAUGAUUUGGGAAUUGAGCAAGCUUACUGUUAAACCUCUCCCAAGCUUCAAAUAACUCUCCAUUCAUUUGCCAAAAAUUCAUAAUCUCAUCUUGCUUUU